CUCCGCCACGCCGGCCCCCGCCCCGACUCGGGCGGCGGGAAAGAACCUCCAUUUCGCUCAAAAUCCAGCGUUUCCCCUCAGGCGGCUGUAACCGGCCUCGGGCGAGCCGCCCCUCGGAACGGGUCCCGGCCGGGGGGCAGCUGCGAGCGCCCGACGGGGCCGUCCGGGCUGAGGCGCCCCCCGGCCCGCCACAGCCCUCAGCCUCCUCUCACAGGUCGAGUCUUCCCCCUUUCAGAGAAUCCGCUUUAGAAUUUCAAUCACCUCUGUAUCUUUUAUUUAUUUAUUUUUUAUUCAGCUCCUGCACGGAAACAGGAGCUGAAAUAGCAAAUUGAUAACCCCCCUGAAAUAAAACAGCAUGCAUACCAAGAGACAGCUUGUGCUAACUGUGGUGCCAAGACUGUAUUUGGUCGAGUUUAUCUAAAGCAAGCAGACCUCCCUCCUGCCAGCGAUACAUCAGCGAGUUUGAACCUGUCAGCACUAAUUCCUGUCACCGGGAUCAUCGGGAUCACCAAGACCCCCGAGCCAGGCUGAAGCAAGGCAAAGGCAAGGCCACAGGCAGAAAUCCAAGUCAGAGUACUCCUGGAAGACCUGCUGGUGCUGUAUUGCCAUACGGUGCCUUAGCAACCUUAGAGAGCGGACCACUGCACUCCCUCCCAUCACAUCCCACUGCAUCUGACUGCUAAUAAGCAAAGCACCAACUGAAAAGAAAUGAUUUAUACAUAAGAUCAGCCGUGAACUCCAGUUCAGACUAAGAACCCCACUGUGGCAGGCUUAAAACCAACCGAGAUGCAGCAAAACUCUCAAGCACCGCAUCAACCACGCAGCAACAACAACAAGGAGCAGCAGCAGCAGGCUGGGAGGCUGAAGCAGAUGAAGGUGACAGAAACAUGGACAAAGCGUAGGUAGGAAGCACCAGCCUCACAAAAACCAUCUAAUCAAUAUCCUGCGCUUUCUAAAGGCUUGCAGUUUAGCAGUGGAUGAAAGAAGACAUUUCAAACAACAUUCACUGUGAACAGUACUUGCUAUUGGAUUGGAUCUCACUCCAGACAACGUUUUACCAGUCCAUCCCAGUAGCGCCAGUGGGGGUGCACCGGAGUUUAUGAGAGCGCAGGCCCUAACCAUCCCACGUACCUUAUCCGUUCGAGCACACCGCUGAAAAGACAUUUUCUUCAUAUCUUCCCCGUGGUUUUCUGGGAUGCAGCCUGACUGAACGAGGGCAGAUACCAAGUCAUCUUCAAUUGUCUUGAACUGUGAAGAUCCCACGUUUCUCUAAAAGAAGAUAUAUAGUAAAAAUAAGAAGUAGAAGAAAUAGGAAUAACUGGAUAACUGAGGAUUAUAACUGAAAAACUUAAAAUCGAACAAUGUUAUGAAAUUCUUUAAGUCUUCCCUUCACAGCCCUAAAAGCACUGUCAUUCUAUAACAAAACUGACUAUAUUUUACCAGAGUGUUAAUAAACAUCUAUUAUAUUUA
Molecule: non-coding RNA, 1470 nt
Organism: Phalacrocorax carbo (great cormorant)
Lineage: Eukaryota; Metazoa; Chordata; Aves; Suliformes; Phalacrocoracidae
Source: RefSeq, a predicted model, not a curated record